UACGAAGGGGGCUAGCGUUGCUCGGAAUUACUGGGCGUAAAGCGCACGUAGGCGGUCUUUUAAGUCAGGGGUGAAAUCCUGGAGCUCAACUCCAGAACUGCCUUCGAUACUGGAAGACUCGAGUCCGGGAGAGGUGAGUGGAACUGCGAGUGUAGAGGUGAAAUUCGUAGAUAUUCGCAAGAACACCAGUGGCGAAGGCGGCUCACUGGCCCGGUACUGACGCUGAGGUGCGAAAGCGUGGGGAGCAAACAGG
RNAcentral lists this ribosomal RNA (253 nucleotides) under uncultured bacterium. Its description in RNAcentral is "partial 16S ribosomal RNA". It matches the Rfam family "Bacterial small subunit ribosomal RNA", at positions 524 to 776 of the family's 1533-position model. The record is from RNAcentral.